UACUUUUGGAUGUAUUUGUAAAACUGUUGA
This 30-nucleotide non-coding RNA is filed under the name Rattus norvegicus (Norway rat). The record is from RNAcentral. Lineage: Eukaryota; Metazoa; Chordata; Mammalia; Rodentia; Muridae.